CAGAGAGGUGGGCAACUACCACUCAGGGCCGGAAAGCUGUCCAAACUCGGUCAUUUAGAGGAAGUAAAAGUCGUAACAAGGUCUCCGUUGGUGAACCAGCGG
RNAcentral lists this ribosomal RNA (102 nucleotides) under Yunnania penicillata. RNAcentral's name for it is "partial 18S ribosomal RNA". It matches the Rfam family "Eukaryotic small subunit ribosomal RNA", at positions 1721 to 1820 of the family's 1831-position model. Lineage: Eukaryota; Fungi; Ascomycota; Sordariomycetes; Microascales; Microascaceae. The record is from RNAcentral.